Molecule: transfer RNA, 74 nt
Filed under: Aspidoscelis tigris
Lineage: Eukaryota; Metazoa; Chordata; Lepidosauria; Squamata; Teiidae
Description: partial tRNA-Glu
Source: RNAcentral
AUUGNUUUUACUUGGCCUUAUAAACCCAAGACUAGCAAUACGAAAACUGCUGUUGUAAUUCAACUAUAAAAACC